RNAcentral lists this unclassified non-coding RNA (262 nucleotides) under uncultured fungus. Its description in RNAcentral is "sequence contains ITS2". Lineage: Eukaryota; Fungi. The record is from RNAcentral.
AACGCACAUUGCGCCUCCUGGUACUCCGGGAGGCAUGCCUGUCCGAGCGUCAUUAUAACCCUCUCAAGCAUCAUUGCUUGGUCUUGGAGCUGGAGCGUCCUCCGCGGCGGUCCGUUCCGAAUUCCAAUGGCAGACGACGGUGUCAACGUCAGCGCAGUGAGCAUUUUGCAUCGCGAAGCGUAGUCACCCGUCCCGCCGAACCGAAAACCCUUCUUUUUAUAAUGUUGACCUCGGAUCAGGUAGGGAUACCCGCUGAACUUAA